Molecule: ribosomal RNA, 220 nt
Filed under: uncultured bacterium
Lineage: Bacteria
Description: partial 16S ribosomal RNA
Rfam family: Bacterial small subunit ribosomal RNA
Source: RNAcentral
UACGUAGGGCGCAAGCGUUGUCCGGAAUUAUUGGGCGUAAAGAGCUCGUAGGCGGUUUGUCGCGUCUGCUGUGAAAACUCGAGGCUCAACCUCGGGCUUGCAGUGGGUACGGGCAGACUAGAGUGCGGUAGGGGUGACUGGAAUUCCUGGUGUAGCGGUGGAAUGCGCAGAUAUCAGGAGGAACACCGAUGGCGAAGGCAGGUCACUGGGCCGCAAACUG